This 272-nucleotide long non-coding RNA is filed under the name Panax ginseng (ginseng). RNAcentral describes it as "long non-coding RNA (PGIN_LNC018306)". Lineage: Eukaryota; Viridiplantae; Streptophyta; Magnoliopsida; Apiales; Araliaceae. The record is from RNAcentral.
CUAAGUGUUGGUCAGUUUUGCCUAUAGGCUGAUAGCUCGGCCUCCGUAUGUCGGAAUCGAGUCCCUUAAGUUGUAAUGCGUGCCUAAUACCUACGCGGUGCUAUGUACGUGUUUGCAUAUCGUUACGACGGUCGAGGCUGGUUUUGGCCUCUUGUUCGACUUUUUGCCUAAGUGUUGUUCAGUUUUGCCUACGGGCUGAUAACUCGGCCUCCGUAAGUCAGAAUCAAGACCCAUAAGUUGUAACACAUGCCUAAUACCCACGCGGUUCUAUG